AUGCUAAAGAUGAUUGUGGAUUGUUUAUGCUAACGAUGUAUUCUAGGGUUUAUAAAUUAUAAUCAUGACAGAUAUGACGGCUGAAUUUUUGUGCUUGUUCGUUGAAUCGAAGUUCUACAGGGAAAUGGAAUUUGCUUCAAAUGCCAAAAAAACACUGGCUUUGUUCCCAUGGUUAAAUGGCCUCUUUUUCUUCUAGCCAGCAAGAUAUUCGUUGAUGCAACAUUUGGCGGCAGAGAGUGACUCACAAAUACAAUUGUGGGAAAGGAUUUCGAGAGACGAUUACAUGAAAUAUGCUGUUGAAGAGUGUUUUACACCAUCAAGCUGAUUUUGACCUCAAUUUUUGACAAUGAUGGCAAAGAGUGGGUUAAUAGAAUAUAUGAUGAAAUUCGAGGAAGUAUAGUGAAAGGAGCAACUGUCUCUUGUUACUCAGAAAGUUACUACACUAACAGGAAUUUUGAAAGAAGUUGGGACACUUGAACUGGAGACUGGUGCGAUUAAUGUUGCGCUAGAUCUUUACGAUGUUAUCCAGCUUGGUUUUUUUAGUGUAAAUAUGAGAGAAAAUUAUGCCACAUGGAAUAUGUUGAUAAAAGCAUGGAAGGAAGGCCGUUUGUUUCAAAGAUUAAGUGGCCAAGAGACCCUGAAUUGAAGUUACAAAUUCGGAGGCUACACUCACUCUUCACUAUCAAAGAUUCAGCAGUAAACGUCCCUAGAAACCUAGACACUAGACGUAGGUUGGAGUUCUUCACAAAUUCACUUUUCAUGAACAUGCCUAGACCCCAACCUGUUCGGGA
RNAcentral lists this long non-coding RNA (791 nucleotides) under Helianthus annuus (common sunflower). The record is from RNAcentral. Lineage: Eukaryota; Viridiplantae; Streptophyta; Magnoliopsida; Asterales; Asteraceae.